This 74-nucleotide transfer RNA is filed under the name Oryza sativa (Asian cultivated rice). RNAcentral describes it as "tRNA-Pro". It matches the Rfam family "tRNA". Rfam says of the family: Transfer RNA (tRNA) molecules are approximately 80 nucleotides in length. Their secondary structure includes four short double-helical elements and three loops (D, anti-codon, and T loops). Further hydrogen bonds mediate the characteristic L-shaped molecular structure. tRNAs have two regions of fundamental functional importance: the anti-codon, which is responsible for specific mRNA codon recognition, and the 3' end, to which the tRNAs corresponding amino acid is attached (by aminoacyl-tRNA synthetases). tRNAs cope with the degeneracy of the genetic code in two manners: having more than one tRNA (with a specific anti-codon) for a particular amino acid; and 'wobble' base-pairing, i.e. permitting non-standard base-pairing at the 3rd anti-codon position. The record is from RNAcentral. Lineage: Eukaryota; Viridiplantae; Streptophyta; Magnoliopsida; Poales; Poaceae.
AGGGAUGUAGCGCAGCUUGGUAGCGCGUUCGUUUAGGGUACAAAAUGUCACGGGUUCAAAUCCUGUCAUACCUA